Molecule: long non-coding RNA, 4366 nt
Organism: Diceros bicornis minor
Lineage: Eukaryota; Metazoa; Chordata; Mammalia; Perissodactyla; Rhinocerotidae
Exons: 5
Source: RefSeq, a predicted model, not a curated record
CUGUGUUUAUCAAGGCACACUUCAGUUAAAUAUAUGUACAAUAUCUCUAGAAAUCAAUAUUGUGGUUGGGAAAUAUAAAUACAUUUAUCAUGUUUUGCAUUGGCAUUCUGGGAGAGGUGAAGUGAAAGGCAUUUUGUUGUUUUUCUACCUGCGGCAGCAGUGUAAAUUUUGAGGUUUCCAAAGACCUGAAGUCAGCUCAGUUAAUGAAAGACCACACAGCUAACAAAUAUCAUGAAUGAUGGAAGGAAAUUCACAAUGGUAAACACUAGUGAAGCUGAAAAUCUGUUAGGAAAAAGCCGUUAUAUUUUUUAAAAAAGAAAAAGCCACUAAUACCAAAAAAAUUAUCACCUUUCUAAAGGAUAAGAGAGAGGUAACUACAAUUAAUUUAAUGAAUUAGUUUAGUGAACAUUACAGACAUAACAUGACAACCAUAUUAUUAAAUCUGUUCCUGGGAAUUUUGUAAACAUUUUACACACAUGUCUUUUGUCAUUUAAUUCUCAUGACAACCCUAUAAGUUUUUAUUAUCACCAUACUUCUAUAGAUAAGUAAAUUGGAGCACAAAGAAUAAAGGUCACGUAAGUAGUAAGCCAGGGAAAGGUGAUUUGAAACUCUCAGUGCCCCUACCUACACAGACAGUUUUGUACAUUCAGUUCCUGCGUUUCUCUCCCUGAUGGUUUUCCCUGGCAAUGAGAGCAUGCUGUGGACUUAAGACCCCAGGAGCAACCUUCAACCAAGAGGUUCAGGAAUUGGUAGAAAAAUACUCCAACUUCUUUGCCUCUCUGUGAGACAACUCUAAGUAUUUCUACACAGUCCCCAGAGGGGUGAGCCCCAGUUGCUCCUAGUAGUAACUCACUCAUUAAUGUCCCAUUUCUUUGCUUUCCUUCUUUCCAGGUCUUGCUUCCCCACUCUCUCACCAUCCUUCCAGGGAUCACUUCCUGAAUCAACUACUUGCAUCCAAAUCUUUGCCUUUGGAUAAACUCAGCCUAAGACAAAACCCAAGCAAGUCUGCCCCCAGCUUGAGCCUCUGAGUAUCUGUGUGCUAUAAGAGCUUGUUGUCACCACAGUCCCUGUGGGAGGGUACACACUCAUUUUACUGCUUUGGACAAAACUUGAAAUUUGCCAUGUGACUCUAUCUUUAUCUUAUACCCCAAAUCCCCAAAAACUUGUGUCUGGGAAAGAGAGGCCCAGCCUGGUAACCAUGACCUUCACAAGGGCUGGAUUAUUUCUUCCGAAUCCCCAGUCUCUGUUAACAGAUUCUCUGAUGCCUGCUUCUAGGCUACUCUGACAUGUAUCUCUAUCCCCUCAACCAGGUUGCUGCUCUGCCUCAGCCUCAGCUGUUUGUUCCUGCUUAGCCCUGCCAGGGUCCACUAUGGCUCUGUGAAGGACAAUCUGGGUGGCUCUCAGCUUCCAUAGACCCAGCUCCAGAACAGAUCUGCUUCUCCGACUUCUACUCCUUCCCCACACUGUCCACACCUCACCUUCUCAUGUACAGUUGGUGUCACUGCAUUGAUUCAUGCUAAGAAAACUGCAGUUUUGCCCAUUAUUGCUUUUGUACCAUCAGUGCAAAUGUCAACACAGUGAAAGAAGUAAAUAAUAUCUUAGUAUUAUUAUGAAAAUAAUUGUGACUCACUUUGAGAACUACUGCACUAGAACAUUUUAUAGUGGGUUUAGUUAUAGCCUCCCAAAAGAAAAGUCCUAACCCUUAGAACCUGUGAAUACGACAUUAUUUGCAAAAUGGGUCUUUGCAGAUGUAAUUAAGGAUCUCAAGAUGAGAUCAUCCUGGAUUGAGGAUCCAAUGAGAAGUGUCUUUAUAAGAGAACAGAAGGCAAGAAGACAGAGGAGAAAAGGCCAUGUGAAAACGGAAGCAGAGAUUGGAGUGAUGUGUCUACAAGCCAAGGAACGCCAAGGAUUACUUGCAAUUACCGAAGCUAGGAGAGAGGCAUGGAAUGGCUUCUCCUUCAGAACCUCCAGAAGGAACCAACCCUGCUGCCACCUUGAUUUCAGACUUGAGGCCUCCAGAACUACACCAUGAGAAGGCAGCCAUCUGCAAGCCAGGAAGAGGACCCACACCAGAACCUGACCAUGCGGGCACCCUGAUCUCAGACUUCCCAGCCUCCACAACUGAUUUUGAAACUUCCAAGUGAAGAGGAGACAUCCUAUUCUCUUUCGGCUGUCAUUGCUUGAAAUGAAACCUGCAAAGUGCUUGAGAAUCACAGACCGAUACUCCUGCAGUCACAACUUCAGAAACACUUUUAGAGGUUCAUGGCUUCCAUCAACAGUAAAUUAUGCCCAAGACCACACCGAAAUGGACAAGCUGAUUAUAAAAUUCAUAUAAAAUUUCAAGAGACUCAGAAUAAACAAAACAAUCUUGAAAAAGAACACAGUUGGAGGACUCACACUUCCCAAUUUAGAAACUUACCACAAAGCAACAGUAAUCAAGACAGUAUGGUACUGGCAUAAGGAUAAAAAUAAAGAACAAUGGAGUAGAAUUGGGAUUCCAGAAAUGAACCUAUAUAUCUAUGGUCAACUGAAAUUUGACAAGAAUGCCAAGACCAUUCAAUGGGGGAUACAAUAGUGUUUUCAGCAAUUGGUGCUGGGACAACUGGACACCCACAUGCAAAAGAAUGAAGUUGGAUCCCUACUUGCAAUACUGUGAUUUAUAAGAAAUAUAUAUAUUUGGUCAUUCAGAUGACCGAAAUAUAUUUCUCAGAUAUGUUUGGUCUUCAUCCACAGUUCCUGGCUCACAGCUCCCCAAAAUCUUGGAAUUUCCUGAGCGAUAAGAGCAAUGGGAGUAUAAUAUUUGGUCUCUUGUCCUCAGUUCCCGAAAGCACCUCAGGGCCAUAAAGGUGACUUUUGGAUCCUGGUUGCCAGGAGAACCAGCCAUGUGGUCAGAGGAUUGGAACUUUCAGUCUCACCCCUUGAUUUCUGGGGAGUGGAGGGGGGCUUGAGGUUGAAUCAGUUGCCAAUGGCCAAUAACUUAGUCAGUCGUGACUACAUAACGAAGCCUCCAUAAAAACUCAAAAGGACGGUGCCUCAGCCUUUUUUAGAGAGCUUCCAUGUUGGGGAACUAAAAUGCUUCCAUGUGCCACCGUGGCAGGUCCCAAGCUUCACGGCUCCACAAGGACAGAAGCUCCUUUGUUUAGGAUCCUACCAUAUGUAUCUCUUCGACUGGUUGUUGAUUCGGAUCCUUUAAUGUCCUUUGUAAUAAAUUGGUAAUCUAGUAAGUAAACGGGUUUUCUUGAGUUCUGCGAGCCGUUCUAACAAAUUAAUCGAACCCAAGGAGGAGGUUGUGGGAACUUCUGAUUUAUAUCCACUCAGUCAGAAGUACAGGUAACAACCUGGGCUUGUGACUGGCAUCUGAAGUGGAAGGCAAUCUUGUGGGACAGAGGCCUUUACCCAUGGAAUCUGAUUCUAUCUCUGGAUGGAUAGUGUCAGAAUUGAGUUGUAUUCUUGGACCCCUUGCUGGCAUCUGAGAACUGCUUGUUGGUAUGGGGAGGCCUCCAUGCACCCAUGUUGGAAUUGGGUCCAGGAACCAUUUGCACUAUCUCACAUUACAUACAAAAUAACUCAAAAUGGAUCAAAGACAUAAAUGUAAAAGCUGAAACUAUAAUACUCUUAGAAGAAAACAUAAUAGUAAAUCUUCAUGACCUCAGAUUUGGCAAUGGAUUCUUAGAUAUGAGACCAAAAGCAUGAGUAAUAAAAGAAAAAAUAGAUAAAUUGAAUUUCAUCAAAAUUAAAAACUUCUAGUGUCAUGCUUCAAAUGACACUAUCAAGAAAGUGAAAAGGCAACUCACAGAAUGGGAGAAUAUCUUUACAAAUCAUAUAUCUGAUUACAUACUUACAUCUAGAAUAUAUAAAGAACUCUUAAAACUCAAUAAUAAAGACAUAUAACCCAAUUUAAACAAUGGGCAAAGGGUCUGAAUAGACAUUUCUCCCGAGAAGAUAUAUAAAUGGCCAAUAAACACAUAAAAAGAUACUCAACAUAAUCAGUCAUCAGGGAAAUGCAAAUCAAAACCACAAGAUAUCACUUCGCACCACUAGGAUGGCUAUCAUUAAAAAGUCAGAUAAUAGCAUGUUGGUGACAGAAAUUAGUCACGAAAGACCACAUAUUGUAUGAUUCCAUUUAUAUGAAAUAUCCAGAAUAGGCAAAUCUAUAGAGACAGAGAGUAGAUUAUUGGUUGCUUACGGCUGGGAGGAAUGGCAGGUCAGGGAGGUGAUAACUAAAGGUACAGAAUUUCUUUUUGGAAUGAUGAAAAUGUUCUAAAAUUACUGUUAUGAUGGUUGCACAUAUAUGCAAAUAUAUUAAAAACCACUGAAUUGUAUACUUUAAAUAUGUGAAUUUUGCGGUAUUUCAAUUAUGUAUCAG